CCAGUCAUAGUCCCAGACCAAACUCUUGAGAUCAUCCCCUCGGGCACGUGUUUCCUUGAACUACUUUUCCUCUUUUUGCAUAGCUUUCCUCUGUGCCCUGAUCACCGCGACAGUGAACCUUGUCACCAAGAAAUACGAGCAACUUUCUUCGUUCCACAGUUUCCUAGGCCCUUCCAUCAACCUGAGAAGCCUAUCCCUAUUUGACAUCGGAGACGGCCC
This 219-nucleotide long non-coding RNA is filed under the name Elaeis guineensis (African oil palm). RNAcentral's name for it is "long non-coding RNA (EGUI_LNC021604)". Lineage: Eukaryota; Viridiplantae; Streptophyta; Magnoliopsida; Arecales; Arecaceae. The record is from RNAcentral.